Molecule: transfer RNA, 81 nt
Filed under: Microbacterium thalassium
Lineage: Bacteria; Bacillati; Actinomycetota; Actinomycetes; Micrococcales; Microbacteriaceae
Description: tRNA-Ala
Source: RNAcentral
GGCGUCGUACGCCAGGCGGUACGCGCGGACCUUCGCGUGGUUCUCCUUCCGCCACCUGCGAUCGUACUCGCAGCGUCGCUC